AUACGUAGGGGGCGAGCGUUGUCCGGAAUGAUUGGGCGUAAAGGGCGCGUAGGCGGCCCGGUAAGUCUGGAGUGAAAGUCCUGUUUUUAAGAUGGGAAUUGCUUUGGAUACUGUCGGGCUUGAGUGCAGGAGAGGUAAGUGGAAUUCCCAGUGUAGCGGUGAAAUGCGUAGAGAUUGGGAGGAACACCAGUGGCGAAGGCGACACGCUGGACAGGAACUGACGCGGAGCAACAAAGGGUUGGUGAGCAAACAGGAUUAGAGCCCCUGGUAAGCCACGCCGUAAACGAUGAGCGCUAGGUGUCGGGGGUCAAACCUCGGUGCCGCAGUUAACACAUUAAGCACUCCGCCUGGGGAGUACGGUGGCAACACUGAAACUCAAAUGAAUUGACGGGG
Molecule: ribosomal RNA, 393 nt
Filed under: uncultured bacterium
Lineage: Bacteria
Description: partial 16S ribosomal RNA
Rfam family: Bacterial small subunit ribosomal RNA
Source: RNAcentral